This 194-nucleotide microRNA precursor is filed under the name Oryza nivara. Its description in RNAcentral is "MIR812 microRNA precursor family". It matches the Rfam family "MIR812 microRNA precursor family". The record is from Rfam by way of RNAcentral. Lineage: Eukaryota; Viridiplantae; Streptophyta; Magnoliopsida; Poales; Poaceae.
AAAAAGACAAACCCUGGUUUCUGUGUCCAACGUUUCACCGUCCGUCUUAUUUGAAAAAAAUUAAAAAGACAAGUCACGCAUAAAAUAUAAAUCAUGUUUUAUCAUCUAACAACAAUGAAAAUACGAAUUAUAAAAAAAUUUCAUAUAAGACGGACAGUCAAAGUUGGACACGAAAAACCAGAGUUUGUCUUUUU